AUAUAUUCAAGAUGGAGGAGAGCGACAGGUCCUCCCCAUCAACACCAGAAAUAUUGUCAUAUUCUGCUGACGAAGAGCCUUUAGAGCUUGCAAAGAAAGCUGGAAAGGUAAAAGGGAUUUAUUGCUUAAUGCAUUACACUCAUAGAUUUAAGUUAUCUAGGCAAAAAACCGUAGCCCCACAGCCUGCACAGGACGCAAAAUUGGCGAACUUUUUUUUUUACGACUGGACACAAUUACGAACGAUUUCCAAUGUUUGCCCUCUGAGAUCAUAUUUAUUUCAGAGUUCGCGAAAUCUUUUUC
This 300-nucleotide long non-coding RNA is filed under the name Mytilus galloprovincialis (Mediterranean mussel). The record is from RNAcentral. Lineage: Eukaryota; Metazoa; Mollusca; Bivalvia; Mytilida; Mytilidae.